UACGGAGGGGGCGAGCGUUAUUCGGAAUUAUUGGGCGUAAAGGGCGCGUAGGCGGCUUGACAAGUCAAAGGUGAAAUCCCUCGGCUCAACUGAGGAACUGCCUUUGAAACUGUCUGGCUUGAGGCCGGGAGGGGGUAGCGGAAUUCCCAGUGUAGCGGUGAAAUGCGUAGAUAUUGGGAGGAACACCGAUGGCGAAGGCAGGUCUCUGGGCCACUACUGACGCUGAGAAGCGAAAGCAUGGGGAGCGAACAGG
This 253-nucleotide ribosomal RNA is filed under the name uncultured bacterium. RNAcentral describes it as "partial 16S ribosomal RNA". It matches the Rfam family "Bacterial small subunit ribosomal RNA", at positions 524 to 776 of the family's 1533-position model. The record is from RNAcentral.